RNAcentral lists this ribosomal RNA (402 nucleotides) under bacterium. RNAcentral describes it as "partial 16S ribosomal RNA". It matches the Rfam family "Bacterial small subunit ribosomal RNA", at positions 355 to 776 of the family's 1533-position model. The record is from RNAcentral.
UGGGGAAUUUUGCACAAUGGGGGAAACCCUGAUGCAGCGACGCCGCGUGAUUUAGAAGGCCUUCGGGUUGUAAAAAUCUUUUCUAUGGGAAGAAAAUGACAGUACCAUAGGAAUAAGGACCGGCUAAUUACGUGCCAGCAGCCGCGGUAAUACGAAAGGUCCGAGCGUUGUCCGGAAUCAUUGGGCGUAAAGGGUACGUAGGCGGGUAAGCAAGUUAGAAGUGAAAUCCUAUAGCUCAACUAUAGUAAGCUUUUAAAACUGCUCAUCUUGAGGUAUGGAAGGGAAAGUGGAAUUCCUAGUGUAGCGGUGAAAUGCGCAGAUAUUAGGAGGAAUACCGGUGGCGAAGGCGACUUUCUGGCCAUAACCUGACGCUGAGGUACGAAAGCGUGGGUAGCAAACAGG